ACCUGAGCCCAGUUUACUAUAGGACUUAGCAGAGAGGGCUGCGCUCUAUCACUUGGUUUCCUUCCUUUCAACGAUCACAGCUUCCGUGGAGAUGUUCCAGGCUGGUUUAAGAUUUAGGGAAGGAGCUCAGUGGUUCCUCCUAAUUGUGAGAGGGAUAAACAUGUCACAUCACAGAAAGGAAGUAUUGUGAAGAAGCAGGCAAAGACUCUGAAUAAUCAGAUUUACUUUCUUUUCCUGCAUUGUGCUGUUUAAGACUGCUAAAUGAAGAUAAAUUCUAUUGCAGAAUCCUGAAUUUCACCAUGAAGAGACUGUCGCCCAGCCUUCUCAUCUAGAGAAUUAUUCUCAGGAUCUGCAGACAGGAGGAAGAUUAGCCCUGAGCUAAUAUCUGCUGCCAAUCCUCCUCUUUUUGCUGAGGAAGACUGGCCCUGAGCUAACAUCCAUGCCCGUCUUCCUCUGCUUUAUAUGUGGGAUGCCUUCCACAGGAUGGCUUUACAAGUGGUGCGUAGGUCCACAUCCGGGAUCCGAACCUGUGAACGCUGGGCCACCAAAGUGAUGCAGCUCCAUAUGUCCCUCAGCCAGUGCCUGUCUUCACAGGCGAAAAUGUUGAAAACAUAAGAGCUGUUUUGUGAAUUGUAUGUGCCUUCAUAAUUUAAUGACAUGAAGGACUUGGAAGUGAAUCAAAAAAAGAAAAGGAAAAUUUGGAGUGAUGUAUUAAUAGAUUCAGAAAGAAUGUCUUUCUCCAGAAAGAAAGCUUAUUCCUACCGUGGAGUUCAGCGAGAGGGAAGAAAGCAUAUAGACAAUCACAAGCCUCUAGACCCAAGGGUGGAGUCGGUGGAAAAGAGGAGACUAGAGACAUCUCAUAACAGACUACUUCCAAAGAAGUCAGCCAAAGCUCAACCUCAUCGCACAUACACAACCAUGUUUAUCCCGGUCUUACCAGGCUUGGCAAAAAUGAAUGUACUCCCCAGUGCUGCUCUCUCUUGAGAGAGGGACUGAAAGUAAAAUUCUCUCUAUAGAAAUGUGAUGCAGAGAAUUAAGAGUUAUGUAUCUCCAC
This 1054-nucleotide long non-coding RNA is filed under the name Equus asinus (donkey). RNAcentral describes it as "lncRNA (ENSEASG00005026505.1)". Lineage: Eukaryota; Metazoa; Chordata; Mammalia; Perissodactyla; Equidae. The record is from RNAcentral.